Molecule: ribosomal RNA, 253 nt
Filed under: uncultured bacterium
Lineage: Bacteria
Description: partial 16S ribosomal RNA
Rfam family: Bacterial small subunit ribosomal RNA
Source: RNAcentral
UACGGAGGGUGCAAGCGUUAAUCGGAAUUACUGGGCGUAAAGCGCGCGUAGGCGGCUAGAUAAGUCGGAUGUGAAAGCCCCGGGCUCAACCUGGGAACUGCAUACGAUACUGUCUGGCUAGAGUAUGAGAGAGGGAGGUAGAAUUCCACGUGUAGCGGUGAAAUGCGUAGAUAUGUGGAGGAAUACCGGUGGCGAAGGUGGUCUCUUGGCUUAAUACUGACGCUGAGGUGCGAAAGUGUGGGGAGCAAAUAGG